RNAcentral lists this long non-coding RNA (1310 nucleotides) under Lactuca sativa (garden lettuce). Its description in RNAcentral is "long non-coding RNA (LSAT_LNC004014)". The record is from RNAcentral. Lineage: Eukaryota; Viridiplantae; Streptophyta; Magnoliopsida; Asterales; Asteraceae.
GUGUGUGUGUGUGUGUGUGUGUGUGUGUGUGUGAUCUUCAUCUAGCUUCCUUGGAUGCUCAUGCUACAUUUGAUGUAAGUGUGUUUGUGCUUCACUUGAAACUGGAGAGUGAAGAAGGGAGAGAACGAAAGAAGUGUAGAUGGGAUUCAGUAUUAAAGGGUUAAUGAAUGUUGUGUUGCCAUUUUGAUGUAUCUGAUAGAGAUAUACAACAAGCUAAGUUGGACAAGAAAUUAAUAGGUAAUGUGACCGUAGUAACUAGAAACAUAGCUUGUUGUCAGCGGGUUGGUCGGAGCUCUCCGUCGGCGGACAUCUUUGUGGUUAUUCCUUGAUUCUAUGUAGAAGAUGAAGAAGGACGCUUAUGUGAUCAUACGUCGUCAGACCACCAAAAGCUUGGUGUCGGCUAGAGACGGGAGUUGCAUCGGAGGAUGAGCAUUGUCGGCCUUUGGAGUUGGAUGUUGACGUACCUGUCUAGUGUGCGAUGCAUGGAGGUAUCCUUUUGACCUAAUGGAUCCUAUCACUUGUUAGUUUUGGGCUUUAGAUUGUUGGGCUAAUUGUAUGGAUUAAAUCAUUGUCUAUGGGAUGAUGUGUUUUUUUUAACAAUUGGACUUCAAGAUGGUAGGCUUAUUAUAUAUGGAUAAAAUAUAUAUUGGGUUAAACGUACUAUGGAGUAAUUAAAUCUUAAUACAUGAUUAAUAAGAUGGAAAAUAUUUGUGAAAAUAUAUUUUGGUUUAAUUAAUUAUAAGAUGAGUUUAUGGACUAAUUAUGUUGUAUGGAUUAAGGCUAUAGUAGUUCGAUAACUAUUGGGUAAUAUUAGAUAACGACACAUAAAUAUUAUUAUUUAACGAGUUGGUUAAUUAUAAGUAUUUUGAUUUAUUUAAAGGCUAGACUAUUUUGCUGGUUUAGAGGACAUAUGCUUAACCUAGUAAGUGAAACACAUAAUUAAGGGCGAUCUAAUUGUUAUAACAAUAAUAAAAGUGAAUAAGAAGUAUAUUAUAGUGUAUUAUUAAGUAAUGCUUGAAAUUUAGGCUAAAUAAUGAUUAGUUAUAUAAUUGUAGGUGUUCAAGGAGCUGUGUAAUCUCUCUUAGCCGCUUCAGUGAUUUUAUGUUGUGUUUUCCAGCUUCAGUGAGUUCUCAUGAACUUACUUAUUAUAUGGACUAUGUGAUUAUGUUAUGUGAAACCACGAAAAGACUCUUAAGUGAGGGAAGUGGUUAUGGAUUGGACAACUGGAGAAAAGCCUCACAUUAGUCUGGGUGGCCAUGUACGGAUGGUCGACCACGCGAAGCCUCUUUAAGGAAGGUGGUAUAUGUAGG